Molecule: ribosomal RNA, 497 nt
Filed under: uncultured bacterium
Lineage: Bacteria
Description: partial 16S ribosomal RNA
Rfam family: Bacterial small subunit ribosomal RNA
Source: RNAcentral
GACGAACGCUGGCGGCGUGCCUAAUACAUGCAAGUUGAGCGCUGAAGGUUGGUACUUGUACCAACUGGAUGAGCAGCGAACGGGUGAGUAACGCGUGGGGAAUCUGCCUUUGAGCGGGGGACAACAUUUGGAAACGAAUGCUAAUACCGCAUAAAAACUUUAAACACAAGUUUUAAGUUUGAAAGAUGCAAUUGCAUCACUCAAAGAUGAUCCCGCGUUGUAUUAGCUAGUUGGUGAGGUAAAGGCUCACCAAGGCGAUGAUACAUAGCCGACCUGAGAGGGUGAUAGGCCACAGUGGGACUGAGACACGGCCCAAACUCCUACGGGAGGCAGCAGUAGGGAAUCUUCGGCAAUGGACGAAAGUCUGACCGAGCAACGCCGCGUGAGUGAAGAAGGUUUUCGGAUCGUAAAACUCUGUUGGUAGAGAAGAACGUUGGUGAGAGUGGAAAGCUCAUCAAGUGACGGUAACUACCCAGAAAGGGACGGCUAACUACGUG